RNAcentral lists this ribosomal RNA (722 nucleotides) under uncultured Fusobacterium sp. RNAcentral describes it as "bacterial SSU rRNA". It matches the Rfam family "Bacterial small subunit ribosomal RNA", at positions 28 to 776 of the family's 1533-position model. The record is from RNAcentral. Lineage: Bacteria; Fusobacteriati; Fusobacteriota; Fusobacteriia; Fusobacteriales; Fusobacteriaceae.
GAUGAACGCUGACAGAAUGCUUAACACAUGCAAGUCAACUUGAACUUUGGUUUGGGUGGCGGACGGGUGAGUAACGCGUAAAGAACUUGCCUCACAGCUAGGGACAACAUUUGGAAACGAAUGCUAAUACCUGAUAUUAUGAUUUUAGGGCAUCCUAGAAUUAUGAAAGCUAUAUGCGCUGUGAGAGAGCUUUGCGUCCCAUUAGCUAGUUGGAGAGGUAACGGCUCACCAAGGCGAUGAUGGGUAGCCGGCCUGAGAGGGUGAUCGGCCACAAGGGGACUGAGACACGGCCCUUACUCCUACGGGAGGCAGCAGUGGGGAAUAUUGGACAAUGGACCAAGAGUCUGAUCCAGCAAUUCUGUGUGCACGAUGAAGUUUUUCGGAAUGUAAAGUGCUUUCAGUUGGGAAGAAAAAAAUGACGGUACCAACAGAAGAAGUGAUGGCUAAAUACGUGCCAGCAGCCGCGGUAAUACGUAUGUCACAAGCGUUAUCCGGAUUUAUUGGGCGUAAAGCGCGUCUAGGUGGUUAUGUAAGUCUGAUGUGAAAAUGCAGGGCUCAACUCUGUAUUGCGUUGGAAACUGUGUAACUAGAGUACUGGAGAGGUAAGCGGAACUACAAGUGUAGAGGUGAAAUUCGUAGAUAUUUGUAGGAAUGCCGAUGGGGAAGCCAGCUUACUGGACAGAUACUGACGCUGAAGCGCGAAAGCGUGGGUAGCAAACAGG